GUUGGUCUACAUGCCACCCUGAACACGUCCAGUCUCGUCUGAUCUCAGAAGCUAAGCAGGGUCGGGCCUGGUUAGUACUUGGAUGGGAAAAAUAAAAUGUUGGUGAGCAUUC
Molecule: ribosomal RNA, 112 nt
Filed under: Ochotona princeps (American pika)
Lineage: Eukaryota; Metazoa; Chordata; Mammalia; Lagomorpha; Ochotonidae
Source: RNAcentral